GCAGUCGAGCGGAUGAUGAAGAAGCUUGCUUCUUCUGANUUUAGCGNCNNNNNNNNGAGUAACACGUGGGCAACCUACCUUGUAGAUUGNNNUAACUCCGGGAAACCGGGGCUAAUACCGAAUAAUCCAUUUUGCUUCAUGGCGAAAUGUUAAAAGGCGGCUUCGGCUGUCACUGCAAGAUGGGCCCGCGGCGCAUUAGCUAGUUGGUAAGGUAACGGCUUACCAAGGCGACGAUGCGUAGCCGACCUGAGAGGGUGAUCGGCCACACUGGGACUGAGACACGGCCCAGACUCCUACGGGAGGCAGCAGUAGGGAAUCUUCCACAAUGGACGAAAGUCUGAUGGAGCAACGCCGCGUGAGUGAAGAAGGUUUUCGGAUCGUAAAACUCUGUUGUAAGGGAAGAACACGUACGAGAGUAACUGCUCGUACCUUGACGGUACCUUAUUAGAAAGCCACGGCUAACUACGUGCCAGCAGCCGCGGUAAUACGUAGGUGGCAAGCGUUGUCCGGAAUUAUUGNGCGUAAAGCGCGCGCAGGCGGUCCUUUAAGUCUGAUGUGAAAGCCCACGGCUCAACCGUGGNNGGUCAUUGGAAACUGGGGGACUUGAGUACAGAAGAGGAAAGCGGAAUUCCAAGUGUAGCGGNGAAAUGCGUAGAGAUUUGGNNGAACACCAGUGGCGAAGGCGGCUUUCUGGNCUGUAACUGACGCUGAGNCGCGAAAG
Molecule: ribosomal RNA, 721 nt
Filed under: uncultured bacterium
Lineage: Bacteria
Description: partial 16S ribosomal RNA
Rfam family: Bacterial small subunit ribosomal RNA
Source: RNAcentral